This 738-nucleotide long non-coding RNA is filed under the name Penaeus japonicus. Its description in RNAcentral is "uncharacterized LOC122246309". Lineage: Eukaryota; Metazoa; Arthropoda; Malacostraca; Decapoda; Penaeidae. The record is from RNAcentral.
GAACAUAUAAAAUGAUGAAGCACAUUGCCCUUUCUCCCCAAGGAUAAAUAGAGGACGUCUAACUGUUUCGCUCUCAGUUACGGGAGAACCACGAACAACCAUGGAGCUCAGUCCGUUGGGAUAUGCUGGCGGGGUUUUACUCCAAAUAAUAUUCGGCAUUCCGUUAACUAUUCUGCAACUCAUAAUCGGACCUUUAAACAGCGUUACCACAUGCAAAGGAUUCACAGCUGGACUCAUACCAUUUACGUUACGACUGAUGAGAGGUGAUGAAGUCAAAUGGUAUUUUGACUCAUGUUGACGGAUGGAGAAACCGAUGUCCUCCACAGAUAAAAAAAAGUGCUUCUUCCACUUCAAUUUUUGUUUCCUUUUUCUCAAUAAGAAUGGCUUACACUGCCCAGUCCCGAGUAUGAGAACGAGUCUACAUCUAUUGAGAUGUGAAUCAAUAAAUAUAACGGAAAAAAAAUUGUAGGUCCAUGCAUCACAAACUACAAGCAACGGAGUCAGCAUAUUGAGGGUUGAUGAUAUAUAAAAAUGUAUCAACAUUAAUUGAUUAAUUACAAUUCGUGAUUAUGAAAACCUAUAAAAGAUGCAUUCUGAAUAAUUUAACCAAAAUGUCUAUAGGCGUGUUCAUGAGUGUCAUGUUUCCAAAAUUAUAUAAAUGCUUUGUAUAUUAGUGUGCGUUUAUUUUUCCUUUGUAGCCAAUUAUGCAUUGUAGUCAAUUAAAUUAAGCUAUUGCUA